CCUACGGGAGGCAGCAGUGAGGAAUAUUGGUCAAUGGUCGGGAGACUGAACCAGCCAAGCCGCGUGAGGGAUGAAGGUACAGAGUAUCGUAAACCUCUUUUGUCAGGGAACAAAGGCGGGGACGCGUCCCCGGAUGAGUGUACCUGAAGAAAAAGCAUCGGCUAACUCCGGGCCAGCAGCCGCGGUAAUACGGAGGAUGCGAGCGUUAUCCGGUUUUAUUGGGUUAAAGGGGUGCGCAGGCGGUCUGUUAAGUCAGCGGGCAAAGCCCGGGGCUCAACCCCGACCCGCCGUUGAAACUGGCAGUCUCGAGUUGGAGAGAAGUAUGCGGAAUGCGCGGUGUAGCGGUGAAAUGCAUAGAUAUCGCGCAGAACUCCGAUUGCGAAGGCAGCAUGCCGGCUCCACACUGACGCUGAGGCACGAAAGCGUGGGUAUCGAACAGGAUUAGAUACCCUUGUAGUC
RNAcentral lists this ribosomal RNA (459 nucleotides) under uncultured bacterium. RNAcentral describes it as "partial 16S ribosomal RNA". It matches the Rfam family "Bacterial small subunit ribosomal RNA", at positions 338 to 795 of the family's 1533-position model. The record is from RNAcentral.